GGGCCCGCACAAGCGGUGGAGCAUGUGGUUUAAUUCGAUGCAACGCGAAAAACCUUACCACCCCUUGACAUCCUGCGAAGUUACCAGAGAUGGUUUCGUGCCUUCGGGAGCGCAGAGACAGGUGCUGCAUGGCUGUCGUCAGCUCGUGUUGUGAAAUGUUGGUUAAGUCCCGUAACGAGCGCAACCCUUGUCCUUAGUUGCUAACAUUUAGUUGAGAACUCUAAGGAGACUGCCGGUGACAAACCGGAGGAAGGUGGGGACGACGUCAAGUCAUCAUGGCCCUUACGGGGUGGGCUACACACGUGGCUACAAUGGGGAGUACAGAGGGUUUGCCAAGCCGCGAGGUG
RNAcentral lists this ribosomal RNA (347 nucleotides) under uncultured bacterium. RNAcentral's name for it is "bacterial SSU rRNA". It matches the Rfam family "Bacterial small subunit ribosomal RNA", at positions 917 to 1264 of the family's 1533-position model. The record is from RNAcentral.